RNAcentral lists this ribosomal RNA (305 nucleotides) under uncultured bacterium. RNAcentral describes it as "bacterial SSU rRNA". It matches the Rfam family "Bacterial small subunit ribosomal RNA", at positions 333 to 653 of the family's 1533-position model. The record is from RNAcentral.
CGCCGCCUACGGGGGGCAGCAGUGGGGAAUAUUGGGCAAUGGGCGCAAGCCUGACCCAGCAACGCCGCGUGAAGGAAGAAGGCUUUCGGGUUGUAAACUUCUUUUCUGGGGGACGAACAAAUGACGGUACCCCAGGAAUAAGCCACGGCUAACUACGUGCCAGCAGCCGCGGUAAUACGUAGGUGGCAAGCGUUAUCCGGUUUUAUUGGGUGUAAAGGGCGUGUAGGCGGGAAUGCAAGUCAGAUGAGAAAACUAUGGGCUCAACCCAGAGCCUGCAUUUGAAACUGUAUUUCUUGUGUGAUGGG